RNAcentral lists this ribosomal RNA (716 nucleotides) under Lactiplantibacillus plantarum. Its description in RNAcentral is "bacterial SSU rRNA". It matches the Rfam family "Bacterial small subunit ribosomal RNA", at positions 371 to 1078 of the family's 1533-position model. The record is from RNAcentral. Lineage: Bacteria; Bacillati; Bacillota; Bacilli; Lactobacillales; Lactobacillaceae.
AUGGACGAAAGUCUGAUGGAGCAACGCCGCGUGAGUGAAGAAGGGUUUCGGCUCGUAAAACUCUGUUGUUAAAGAAGAACAUAUCUGAGAGUAACUGUUCAGGUAUUGACGGUAUUUAACCAGAAAGCCACGGCUAACUACGUGCCAGCAGCCGCGGUAAUACGUAGGUGGCAAGCGUUGUCCGGAUUUAUUGGGCGUAAAGCGAGCGCAGGCGGUUUUUUAAGUCUGAUGUGAAAGCCUUCGGCUCAACCGAAGAAGUGCAUCGGAAACUGGGGAACUUGAGUGCAGAAGAGGACAGUGGAACUCCAUGUGUAGCGGUGAAAUGCGUAGAUAUAUGGAAGAACACCAGUGGCGAAGGCGGCUGUCUGGUCUGUAACUGACGCUGAGGCUCGAAAGUAUGGGUAGCAAACAGGAUUAGAUACCCUGGUAGUCCAUACCGUAAACGAUGAAUGCUAAGUGUUGGAGGGUUUCCGCCCUUCAGUGCUGCAGCUAACGCAUUAAGCAUUCCGCCUGGGGAGUACGGCCGCAAGGCUGAAACUCAAAGGAAUUGACGGGGGCCCGCACAAGCGGUGGAGCAUGUGGUUUAAUUCGAAGCUACGCGAAGAACCUUACCAGGUCUUGACAUACUAUGCAAAUCUAAGAGAUUAGACGUUCCCUUUGGGGACAUGGAUACAGGUGGUGCAUGGUUGUCGUCAGCUCGUGUCGUGAGAUGUGGG